Molecule: ribosomal RNA, 505 nt
Filed under: uncultured bacterium
Lineage: Bacteria
Description: partial 16S ribosomal RNA
Rfam family: Bacterial small subunit ribosomal RNA
Source: RNAcentral
GACGAACGCUGGCGGCGUGCCUAAUACAUGCAAGUAGAACGCACAGUUUAUACCGUAGCUUGCUACACCAUAGACGGUGAGUUGCGAACGGGUGAGUAACGCGUCGGUAACCUGCCUGGUAGCGGGGGAUAACUAUUGGAAACGAUAGCUAAUACCGCAUAAUAUUGAUUAUUGCAUGAUAAUUGAUGGAAAGAUGCUAUUGCAUCACUACCAGAUGGACCUGCGUUGUAUUAGCUAGUAGGUGAGGUAACGGCUCACCUAGGCGACGAGACAUAGCCGACCUGAGAGGGUGGUCGGCCACACUGGGACUGAGACACGGCCCAGACUCCUUCGGGAGGCAGCAGUAGGGCAUCUUCGGCCAUGGACGAAAGUCUGACCGAGCAACGCCGCGUGAGUGAAGAAGGUUUUCGGAUCGUAAAGCUCUGUUGUCAGAGAAGAACGGGUGUGAGAGUGGAAAGUUCACACUGUGACGGUAUCUUACCAGAAAGGGACGGCUAACUACGUG